UAACGGGAAGUGUGUAAGCACA
RNAcentral lists this microRNA (22 nucleotides) under human gammaherpesvirus 4 (Epstein-Barr virus). RNAcentral's name for it is "ebv-miR-BHRF1-3". Its record names the gene ebv-miR-BHRF1-3. Lineage: Duplodnaviria; Heunggongvirae; Peploviricota; Herviviricetes; Herpesvirales; Orthoherpesviridae. The record is from miRBase by way of RNAcentral.